Molecule: ribosomal RNA, 422 nt
Filed under: uncultured bacterium
Lineage: Bacteria
Description: bacterial SSU rRNA
Rfam family: Bacterial small subunit ribosomal RNA
Source: RNAcentral
GAUGAACGCUGGCGGCGUGCCUAACACAUGCAAGUCGAGCGAUCUUCUUCGGAAGAGAGCGGCGGACGGGUGAGUAACGCGUGGGUAACCUGCCUCAUACACAUGGAUAACAUACCGAAAGGUAUGCUAAUACAAGAUGAUAUAAGAGAUUCGCAUGAAUUUCUUAUCAAAGCUUUUGCGGUAUGAGAUGGACCCGCGUCUGAUUAGCUAGUUGGUAAGGUAAUGGCUUACCAAGGCUUCGAUCAGUAGCCGACCUGAGAGGGUGAUCGGCCACAUUGGAACUGAGACACGGUCCAAACUCCUACGGGAGGCAGCAGUGGGGAAUAUUGCACAAUGGGCGAAAGCCUGAUGCAGCAACGUCGCGUGAGCGAUGAAGGCCUUCGGGUCGUAAAGCUCUGUCCUCAAGGAAGAUAAUGACGGUA